This 258-nucleotide ribosomal RNA is filed under the name uncultured bacterium. RNAcentral describes it as "partial 16S ribosomal RNA". The record is from RNAcentral.
CUGCUGCCUCCCGUAGGAGUCUGGCCGUGUCUCAGUACCAGUGUGGGGGACCUUCCUCUCAGAACCCCUACGCAUCGUCGCCUCGGUGGGCCGUUACCCCGCCGACUAGCUAAUGCGACGCAUGGCCAUCCUAUGCCGGAGUCGCCUCCUUUGACCCCCUGGAGAUGUCUCCAAAUGGUGUUAUGCGGUAUUAGACGGAAUUUCUUCCGCUUAUCCCCCUGCAUAGGGCAGGUUCCAUACGUGUUACUCACCCGUGCG